GGGGCCGUAGUCCAGCCUGGUAGGAUAGUAGCGGAAUACCCUAACGCCUGGCUUGGGCCCAGGUGGUCCCGGGUUCAAAUCCCGGCGGCCCCACCA
RNAcentral lists this transfer RNA (96 nucleotides) under Thermoprotei archaeon. Its description in RNAcentral is "tRNA-Pro". It matches the Rfam family "tRNA". Rfam says of the family: Transfer RNA (tRNA) molecules are approximately 80 nucleotides in length. Their secondary structure includes four short double-helical elements and three loops (D, anti-codon, and T loops). The record is from RNAcentral. Lineage: Archaea; Thermoproteati; Thermoproteota; Thermoprotei.